UUCUCAGCAAGGCAAUUUUACUUCUCUAGAAGGGUGCGACUCGCAGAUGGAGCAAUGGCCAGAGCACACCUGAACAAGGGAGGGGAAGGGGUUCUGAUUCCUGACACAGGUAGCCCCUACUGAUGCGUCGUUCCCGUAUUGGCUAGGGUUGGACUGCACAGUCUAAGCUAAUUCCGAUUGGCUACUUUAAAGAGAGCAGGGGUAUGAGCCAGAGUGGCGGGGUGAGUAGUUUGGUGGGAAGGGUGGUUACAGAACAGGUGACUCAGGAUGAUUCAGGUCAGAGCAGGUGACCAGGGGUGACUCAGAAUGGAGCAGGUGGCCAGGGGUGACUCAGAAUGGAGCAGGCGGCCAGGGGUGACUCAGAAUGGAGCAGGCGGCCAGGGGUGACUCAGAAUGGAGCAGGCGGCCAGGGGUGACUCAGAAUGGAGCAGGCGGCCAGGGGUGACUCAGAAUGGAGCAGGUGGCCAGGGGUGACUCAGAAUGGAGCAGGUGGCCAGGGGUGACUCAGAAUGGAGCAGGCGACCAGGGGUGACUCAGAAUGGAGCAGGUGACCAGGGGUGACUCAGAAUGGAGCAGUGUCUGUGGAAUUCACCGGUGAUCCACCUGCCUCAGCCUCCCAAAGUGCUGGGAUUACAGGCGUGAGCCAUUGUGCCCGGCCAAGAACAGCCUUCCAUUUCUACCUUGCCUGUAGCCUCCCAAACCAAAAUACGGGUCUCAACACCUGGUCCUUGAUCUCCUUGACUCCCGUUGGACCCAAGAAGUAUGGCUUCUCUCCCCUUUCCUCUGGUGGAUGGCCCUGGACACAACCCACCUCACACUAACAGAGACAGAGGGGUGGUCCAAGGGAAGUGAGUGAGAAGUUACCUGCAGAAGAGGGAACUUUUGAGAGAAGGAACCAGAGCAUUUAACUCUCUUCUCAAACUACCGACUGUCUGGGGCGGUGUGCCAUGAUGCCCCGGGGGAAGCUCCGUGGAUCUGGAAGGCAACUCGGGACAUCUGGUCUGGCCAGCCCACCCACGUAAUGCAUUCAGCAGACCUGCCCCCUACACAGAGGGCUGAGCCUCUGAGCUCCCACAGGCUCUACCUUAUAAGCAAAGACUGAAGAGUCUUUGUUCAUAAGGAAGAGAGAAGAAAGAAAAGAAGCAAUUAAACAGAAUUGCAGGAGCUCCUAGAGUCUGUCAGUUUCU
This 1187-nucleotide long non-coding RNA is filed under the name Homo sapiens (human). RNAcentral's name for it is "HSALNT0299274". Lineage: Eukaryota; Metazoa; Chordata; Mammalia; Primates; Hominidae. The record is from RNAcentral.